GCCCGGUUAGCUCAAUCGGUAGAGCGCAAGACUCUUAAGCUUCAAAGGAAGUGGAUAGAUACUGGUCCUGUUACCAUAGCAAUCUUGAGGCUGCGGGUUCGACCCCCGCAUCGGGCU
Molecule: non-coding RNA, 117 nt
Organism: Orbilia blumenaviensis
Lineage: Eukaryota; Fungi; Ascomycota; Orbiliomycetes; Orbiliales; Orbiliaceae
Source: the annotation of a GenBank genome assembly